RNAcentral lists this non-coding RNA (113 nucleotides) under Marispirochaeta. Its description in RNAcentral is "Candidatus Marispirochaeta TPP sequence". It matches the Rfam family "TPP riboswitch aptamer (THI element)". Rfam says of the family: Vitamin B(1) in its active form thiamin pyrophosphate (TPP) is an essential coenzyme that is synthesised by coupling of pyrimidine and thiazole moieties in bacteria. The previously detected thiamin-regulatory element, thi box was extended, resulting in a new, highly conserved RNA secondary structure, the THI element, which is widely distributed in eubacteria and also occurs in some archaea. RNAcentral also lists the same sequence under 1 other name. Lineage: Bacteria; Pseudomonadati; Spirochaetota; Spirochaetia; Spirochaetales; Spirochaetaceae. The record is from RNAcentral.
UCAUACACCUUGGGGUGCCGGAAUUGGCCGGCUGAGAGGGGGGCCCGCAAAGUCCCCGACCCACGAACCUGAUCCGGAUAAUGCCGGCGUAGGAAAGCGUGAGGUUGAUUCUU